CUUGAGCGAUCCGAGCCACAGCGGCCGGCCCGCCGGGCGGUCCUUGCCGUAGGUGGCGAGCAGCGCCUGCGCCUC
Molecule: non-coding RNA, 75 nt
Organism: Streptomyces sp. CB02488
Lineage: Bacteria; Bacillati; Actinomycetota; Actinomycetes; Kitasatosporales; Streptomycetaceae
Rfam family: ASpks TB sRNA
Source: Rfam